RNAcentral lists this ribosomal RNA (421 nucleotides) under uncultured eukaryote. RNAcentral's name for it is "SSU rRNA". It matches the Rfam family "Eukaryotic small subunit ribosomal RNA", at positions 567 to 990 of the family's 1831-position model. The record is from RNAcentral.
CCAGCAGCUGCGGUAAUUCCAGCUCCAAUAGCGUAUAUUUAAGUUGCUGCAGUUAAAAAGCUCGUAGUUGGAUUUCGGGUGGGCCCUGCCGGUCCGCCGUUUCGGUGUGCACUUGCAGGUCCCACCUUGUUGCCGGGGACGUGUUCCUGGGCUUGACUGUCCGGGACACGGAGUCGGCGAGGUUACUUUGAGUAAAUUAGAGUGCUCAAAGCAGGCUAUUCCGCCUGAAUAUUCGUGCAUGGAAUAAUAGAAUAGGAUGUCGAUCCUAUUUUGUUGGUUUUCGGGACUCGACAUAAUGAUUAAUAGGGACAAUUGGGGGCAUUUGUAUUCAAACGACAGAGGUGAAAUUCUUGGACCGUUUGAAGACAAACUACUGCGAAAGCAUUUGCCAAGAAUGUUUUCAUUAAUCAAGAACGAAAGU